GGACAAGUAAAAUGGCCUAAAGAGAACCAUUUCAAAAUAUUAGACCUUUCAUAAGUCUGACCUGUACAAAGGGUCACAGGAUCUUGCAUUGGCUCCAAAGAAAUAGGACAAAUAAACACAGGUGGAGUCUCAAUUGAAUCCAACUCUUCAAUCAUCUUACCAAGAUCCAAUUUCUCUCCAGCACCACCACCAUUCACAACCAACCCACCUCCCAAGAUCCCAUCUUUCACUGCAGUUUCAAGAUCCAUCACCUGCCCCCCACCACCAUUACCCAUCUGAUGCAUCCUCAUUGCUCACAAACACCUUCUAAACAAAAUCUAUAUAAACUCAAGCAAACCCGAGGAAAUAAAAGAACAUAAAAGAGACCCUUUUGACCAAGAUCUAGUAGUGUUCAACACAUAAGAAUUUAAGAACUAGACAGUGAAGCGUGUGGAGUAAAAAAGAGAAAGAUAAGCUCAUUGACAAAUACACACUCAAAGGGGACAUUUUUUCCUCAUGGCUUUUCUUUUUCUUUUGUUUGAGGCCUUUUAUCGAACACCCUUCUCUUUAUUUUUAUUUUUCUUGGUCAAAAGAAGCCAUGGUUUGCACAUAAAAUCAUCAUUAUAUAGAGAAUUAAUGAUGAAACUAGUACAAUGUAGUUUACUAAUACCAAAGCUCAAACUUUUCAGUGAAAUAACUCCCAACCCAGAUGAGAUAAUUAUUAAAAGUAAGAUCUCAGUUAAAAGAAAUCAUCUACUGACUGACCCACUACAAUGUUUAGCAGUAACAACCCAGACCCAAACGAGAGAGAGAGAGAGAGAGAGGGGGGGGGGGGCUAUAAGAGUAUACGAACAAUUUUUCAAUGUCAUUCAUCUUAUUGCUAUGGUAAGCUUACACUUGGAAUUGAAUAUUGUAUCUGUGCAAUUUAAACUACACAGUUUCAACAACUCUGCUGACCGUUGCUUUAGUAAGGGAUUGCACCCGCUCUGAAUAACAAGAAGCAGCUUCGCCGCUAGGCCUGCAUCAACAGCCAGUGCUGCACAUUCUUCUGGGGCAAGCUCAAAUAUUGCCCACAAAAUUGAUAACGCCAAAUGAGUGCAAUUCUUCGAAAUCUUCAUCAACAACUUGACAACAAUUGGAAUGGUGUUGGGGCAUUCCUUCAAAGCCAGCCUACCCUUUGGAAAGGAUGACAAGACUUCAAGGAUGUGCAAUGCUAGCUCUAAAGAUUCAGCAUUCAAAGUGGGCAACAUCUCAACCAGUUGAGGAACAACCCCAAUACUCACCACCGAGCUUCUCAAACCUUCAUAUGAACAAAUCUUCUUCAAUAACCGGAGUCCAGAUAAUACGCCAUUCGGGUAUCUCUUAUCCUUCACUAGCCUCAACAACCCUACCAAAAGACUCAGACUUGAAACAACUUCUGCCUUAGAAUCCUUCCCCUCAAUCAACAUUUCAAUCAAUUUUGUGCAAUUCAUCUUCGUAUCAAUUGACCCCUCAUUCAAUAUAUCCACAAUCAAAGAAAUCUUAGUGGGUUGAAUCAAAUUACUAAUUGCAUCUGAAUUGAGUUCCAAAUUUACCAAUAUCCCAAUUACAUCAGACCCAACAGCAUGAGUAGUAAAAUUACCCAAUAAACCAGAUAAAAAACUUACCCCACCAUUCUCCACAACUGUCUUCUUUGCAGAAUCAUGUGUGAUUACAACUUGCUUCAGCUCCCUCAAAGAAUGAACCCUAGCUUGACCCUUAACCUUCUUCAAUUUUUCCAAAAUCUCUAAAACCCUCCCUUGCACAUCCUCUGACCUCUUCUUCAUAGCCACAUACUUCUGCGAAAACCAACUAUAACUCAACUGAUACAAAGUACUAUUAGGAGUAACAGAAUCAUCCCAAAGCUCCUGCAUUGUAGUAGGACAAGUAAAAUGGCCUAAAGAGAACCAUUUCAAAAUAUUAGACCUUUCAUAAGUCUGACCUGUACAAAGGGUCACAGGAUCUUGCAUUGGCUCCAAAGAAAUAGGACAAAUAAACACAGGUGGAGUCUCAAUUGAAUCCAACUCUUCAAUCAUCUUACCAAGAUCCAAUUUCUCUCCAGCACCACCACCAUUCACAACCAACCCACCUCCCAAGAUCCCAUCUUUCACUGCAGUUUCAAG
RNAcentral lists this long non-coding RNA (2120 nucleotides) under Daucus carota (carrot). RNAcentral describes it as "long non-coding RNA (DCAR_LNC001691)". The record is from RNAcentral. Lineage: Eukaryota; Viridiplantae; Streptophyta; Magnoliopsida; Apiales; Apiaceae.